This is a long non-coding RNA of Etheostoma spectabile (orangethroat darter), 138 nucleotides long. RefSeq lists it as uncharacterized. NCBI's taxonomy places the organism in Eukaryota, Metazoa, Chordata, Actinopteri, Perciformes, Percidae. The record is from RefSeq and is a predicted model, not a curated record. The transcript is spliced from 3 exons.
UAUCAGAAACUUUACUACUUUUACUCAAGUAAUAUUCUAAAAGGUGACUUUAACUUCCACCAAAGUCCUUUUCUGUUGAGAUACUUGUACUUUGACCCAUGUAUUGCUUUCAAGUACUUUAUACAAGACUGCUUAUAU